AUUUACUUAAUAUAUAAAAGUAUAUUUAACUUCCAAUUAAAAGGACUGUCAAACAGAGUAAAUA
This 64-nucleotide transfer RNA is filed under the name Orestes mouhotii. Its description in RNAcentral is "tRNA-Gly". Lineage: Eukaryota; Metazoa; Arthropoda; Insecta; Phasmatodea; Heteropterygidae. The record is from RNAcentral.